Molecule: ribosomal RNA, 484 nt
Filed under: uncultured bacterium
Lineage: Bacteria
Description: partial 16S ribosomal RNA
Rfam family: Bacterial small subunit ribosomal RNA
Source: RNAcentral
AUUGAACGCUGGCGGCAGGCCUAACACAUGCAAGUCGAGCGGAUGAAGGGAGCUUGCUCCUGGAUUCAGCGGCGGACGGGUGAGUAAUGCCUAGGAAUCUGCCUUGUAGUGGGGGAUAACGUCCGGAAACGGGCGCUAAUACCGCAUACGUCCUGAGGGUGAAAGUGGGGGAUCUUCGGACCUCACGCUAUCAGAUGAGCCUAGGUCGGAUUAGCUAGUUGGUGGGGUAAAGGCCUACCAAGGCGACGAUCCGUAACUGGUCUGAGAGGAUGAUCAGUCACACUGGAACUGAGACACGGUCCAGACUCCUACGGGAGGCAGCAGUGGGGAAUAUUGGACAAUGGGCGAAAGCCUGAUCCAGCCAUGCCGCGUGUGUGAAGAAGGUCUUCGGAUUGUAAAGCACUUUAAGUUGGGAGGAAGGGCAGUAAGUUAAUACCUUGCUGUUUUGACGUUACCAAAAGAAUAAGCACCGGCUAACUUCGUG